RNAcentral lists this ribosomal RNA (510 nucleotides) under uncultured bacterium. Its description in RNAcentral is "bacterial SSU rRNA". It matches the Rfam family "Bacterial small subunit ribosomal RNA", at positions 8 to 513 of the family's 1533-position model. The record is from RNAcentral.
AGAGUUUGAUCCUGGCUCAGAUUGAACGCUGGCGGCAGGCCUAACACAUGCAAGUCGAGCGGUAGAGAGAAGCUUGCUUCUCUUGAGAGCGGCGGACGGGUGAGUAAUGCCUAGGAAUCUGCCUGGUAGUGGGGGAUAACGCUCGGAAACGGACGCUAAUACCGCAUACGUCCUACGGGAGAAAGCAGGGGACCUUCGGGCCUUGCGCUAUCAGAUGAGCCUAGGUCGGAUUAGCUAGUUGGUGAGGUAAUGGCUCACCAAGGCGACGAUCCGUAACUGGUCUGAGAGGAUGAUCAGUCACACUGGAACUGAGACACGGUCCAGACUCCUACGGGAGGCAGCAGUGGGGAAUAUUGGACAAUGGGCGAAAGCCUGAUCCAGCCAUGCCGCGUGUGUGAAGAAGGUCUUCGGAUUGUAAAGCACUUUAAGUUGGGAGGAAGGGCAUUAACCUAAUACGUUGGUGUCUUGACGUUACCGACAGAAUAAGCACCGGCUAACUCUGUGCCAGCA